Molecule: ribosomal RNA, 167 nt
Filed under: uncultured Actinomycetes bacterium
Lineage: Bacteria; Bacillati; Actinomycetota; Actinomycetes
Description: uncultured actinobacterium partial 16S ribosomal RNA
Source: RNAcentral
UCCGCCUUCAUGGAGUCGGGUUGCAGACUCCAAUCCGAACUGAGACCGGUUUUAAGGGAUCCGCUCCCCCUCACGAGGUCGCGUCCCGUUGUACCGGCCAUUGUAGCAUGCGUGAAGCCCUGGACGUAAGGGGCAUGAUGAUCUGACGUCAUCCCCACCUUCCUCCG